This 419-nucleotide ribosomal RNA is filed under the name uncultured bacterium. RNAcentral's name for it is "bacterial SSU rRNA". It matches the Rfam family "Bacterial small subunit ribosomal RNA", at positions 28 to 477 of the family's 1533-position model. The record is from RNAcentral.
GACAAACGCUGGCGGCGUGUAUUAGGCAUGCAAGUCGCACGAGCCUUCGGGCUAGUGGCGGACGGGUGAGUAACACGUGGGUAACCUGCCCCGUGGUGGGAAUAACUCGCCGAAAGGCGAGCUAAUACCGCAUAAUACCCCCGGCGAAAAUCCGGGUAGGUAAAAGCCGCAAGGCGCCACAGGAGGGGCCCGCGGCCGAUUAGCUUGUUGGUGGGGUAAUGGCUCACCAAGGCGACGAUCGGUAGCUGGCUGAGAGGAUGGUCAGCCACACGGGGACUGAGAUACGGCCCCGACUCCUACGGGAGGCAGCAGCUAAGAAUCUUGCGCAAUGGGCGAAAGCCUGACGCAGCAACGCCGCGUGGAGGACGAAGGCCCUCGGGUUGUAAACUCCUUUUGCGAGGGAAGAAGUUCUGACGGUA